Molecule: ribosomal RNA, 903 nt
Filed under: uncultured bacterium
Lineage: Bacteria
Description: bacterial SSU rRNA
Rfam family: Bacterial small subunit ribosomal RNA
Source: RNAcentral
UUUGANCAUGGCUCNGGAUGAACGCUAGCGGCAGGCCUACACNUNCAAGUCGAGGGGUAACGANNUCUUCGGACAGUCGACGACCGGCGCACGGGUGAGUAUCGCGUUUGUAACCUACCUCUAACUGGAGCAUAGCCCGAAGAAAUUCGGAUUAAUACUCCAUAAUACUAUGAUCUGGCAUCUUUUUAUAGUUAAAGCUCCGGCGGUUAGAGAUGGGCAUGCGUGACAUUAGUUUGUUGGUGAGGUAAUAGCUCANCAAGACUACGAUGUCUAGGGGGUCUGAGAGGAUGGUCCCCCACACUGGUACUGAGACACGGACCAGACUCCUACGGGAGGCAGCAGUGAGGAAUAUUGGUCAAUGGGCGCAAGCCUGAACCAGCCAUGCCGCGUGAAGGAUGACAGCGCUAUGCGUUGUAAACUUCUUUUGUACAGGAAGAAACACUUCUACGUGUAGAAGCUUGACGGUACUGUACGAAUAAGCAUCGGCUAACUCCGUGCCAGCAGCCGCGGUAAUACGGAGGAUGCAAGCGUUAUCCGGAUUUAUUGGGUUUAAAGGGUACGUAGGCGGAAAAUUAAGUCAGUGGUGAAAUCCUGCAGCUCAACUGUAGAACUGUCAUUGAUACUGGUUUUCUUGAAUAUAGUUGAGGUAGGCGGAAUGUGUAAUGUAGCGGUGAAAUGCUUAGAUAUUACACAGAACACCGAUUGCGAAGGCAGCUUACUAAGCUAUGAUUGACGCUGAGGUACGAAAGCGUGGGGAGCGAACAGGAUUAGAUACCCUGGUAGUCCACGCCGUAAACGAUGAUCACUCGUUGUUGGCAAUACAUCGUCAGCGACUGAGCGAAAGCAUUAAGUGAUCCACCUGGGGAGUACGCUCGCAAGAGUGAAACUCAAAUGAAUUGACGG